This 3020-nucleotide long non-coding RNA is filed under the name Malus domestica (apple). RNAcentral describes it as "long non-coding RNA (MDOM_LNC003138)". Lineage: Eukaryota; Viridiplantae; Streptophyta; Magnoliopsida; Rosales; Rosaceae. The record is from RNAcentral.
CAAUUUGGCUAAUAUUUUGUAAGGAUGAUCUAUGAGGUGUAACUUAAAAAAUAGACGGUUCAGAUCGUUAAAGUUCGAUAUGGUGUGGACCCCACAACUAAUCCCCACUUUUAUUAAAAAAUAAGAAUUCCUUCACUUAAAAGUUUCAUAUAUAUAUAUAACAAACAAUAUGACAAUCUACACUCAGUUCAUCUAAAUUAUGAAAAUAUGGAUUCAAACUCGAGUGUAGAGAGAAACACACUGCUAUAACCAACUUGACUAAGCUAAAAUAAAACAUUUGUAAAAAAUUGUUGUUGUAUGAAAUAUUCAGUGGUACUUAAGAAUUUGUAAGUUAACAAUUAUCUACUAUAUAUAUUUAUAAAUUCAAUAAAAUAAUUUUUUCUUAUUUCUCGCUCCAAAGAACAGGUUGCUAGCUGGGAGGAGAAUUCUCUCCCCUCUUAAUCUCUCUCCCCUUCCCUCUCCUCUUACUUGAAUGGUUACGGUUUAGUCAUGUCAACAUCUUAUAUUGAUUUUUUUUAGUUAAAGUGUAAAUAGUAGUUUAUUGUCCCACAUUGGUGAAGUACAUAUGUUGUCACGCCCCGAACCCAACAUACGUCCAAGAUCGACGCGUAACGUCACCCAACAUCUGUAUAUCUAACAGAUCCCGCCUCCGAGAUAUGUACAAGGCAUAACUCAAGAUCCAACUGCAUAAUAAUUUUUCGUAAGCUUUAUGGCUGCAUCUAACCUCCUCGUUAGACUGUCUACGUACCCUAAACAGGGAUCAAGAGAUUCGUAGUUCAUCAUUCACUACCCAUCUACAUUUACCACAGUACGUUCAAGCCGAAAGAUAUAACAUUCUUCAAUCAAUCAUUAGAACUUGACAAGUAUGGAAGUACUAGAUUCAGGGCUACAUAACAAUUCAAUAUGACAAACAACAUUUCCACUUCCUCCAUCAUAUAAAUCACUAUGAUUUCAACAAGAAACCUUAAUCCACCCCAUGUAACAUAUCCAAGAACCAACAAGGCACAAUAUUAUUCUCAAGCCACUUUGAGCAAUGAGAUUAAUCAUAAUAAUAACAAUCAUAUUCCACAUCAUUCCGCAAUCAUUCUACUUAAUCAAUCCUAAAAAUCAAAGAUGCAUGAUAUCUACAAUUACUAUGUUAUUCAAUCAAUAAGGUCCCAUAUCAAUUCACAAAUUUUAAUAAAGGAUCCCUACAUAAUUCCCCACCUGGAUUCCAAGUACUAACAUGAUAAGUCUAAUUUAUACACAAUGUCUACUGUGAACAAUUCAUAUUCACUCGACUUUAAGGUCAGACUACCUUUAUGGAAAUGAGCAAGCGUAGGGAUUCUAGACCACUGAACAGAAUCCAACCAAAAUACCAAGCGACCUCUUGUAAUCUCUUCAAACUUGACAUAUGUACAAUCAAUGCCUACACCAUGGGAAUGGUGCAUCGGCAUCAAGAAUUCAGAUAAGCUGUUAAACUCGGGUGAGUGACAAUAAUACAAGGAUGUGAUAAUAAUGAUAAAGCCAACUAUUAAUCACAAUUUACAUCUCUUGAAUAUAAAUCCUUCAUAAGGAAUCAAUACCAAACCUUUGUAACUUCGAAGGAGUCACCCAGACAUACAACGGUUCAUCUGAAACAAAUCACAACAGCUCACAAUCAUAAUCUCAUACAACACAAUGAAAAGUAGGGUUAGAGCGACACAGUUCGGCCGAAGUCUACAUCUCUAAAGCUAUCUCAAUCCAAAUUCAAUAAACCCCAAGGUGAACACAAUCCCAGACCAUCUCUCAACGAAAUCGCGAAGUAGGAGGGAUUCCGAACCUUCGUAACGGGAUCCAAAAGGGUACGAUUCCGGACCAUCACUCAACAAAAUCGCGGAGUAUAAUGCAUAAUCACCACUAAAUGAAACCCAAGUUAGAUAUGAUUCCAGAACAUCACUUAACAGAAUCGCGGAAUAGAAGGGAUUUCAGACCAUCUCUCAAUGGAAUCCGAGUAGAUACGAUUCCGGACCAUCACUCAACUGAAUCGUGGAGUAGAAGGGAUUCGGACCAUCACUCAACGGAAUCCAAACCAGGAUACGAUUCCGGACCAUAUUUCAAUGGAAUCGCGGAGUAGAAUGUGUAACAUCAAUCAAUGAAACAAGACAUGGAUCAAGUUCUUCAAGAUACAAGGACUCAACGAAACGAGAAUGAAAUAAUGACACGAGAGUUGAAACAUGUUUCAAAGUAACAAACCCCAUAACAAUAGGUUAAUGGUCCACUACUAGCCCUCGCAUUUCAUCACAUCAAUCCAAUCAUACAAUACAAACCAUAUUUCCAAUAUGCACGUCAAAUCACACCAUAAAACUACAUCAAUGGCUAAAUAUAAAAAUUAACAAUUUUAUAGGAAACAUAAUUAUAAAACCAUCUCAUAUCCACACAGGAUAGUAGUUAUGAAAAUAAGAUAAUCAUCAAUAUCACAUAUUAGUCAUUCACAUUUCUUCACAUCACACCAACAAUUGAAUUUCGGGAAACCAAGCUAGACAUAGGUUCACAGGGUCACUAGAAGGUAUUUGGUACUUAGACAACACUCGUGGACAGUCCCACGCACCACUAAACGCAAUGGUAGCCAUGGUGAAGGGUUUGAAAACCUAAAUUUUCAACCUUAACCCAAGAGGCUCAAAUUCAUGUGGUAACUAGAGCUCAACAAGGGAGACAUUAUUCACAACUAGACCAACGACAAAUUCUAACCGGAAUCAUCCAAAUUCUUCGGGGAAACCCGGUUUCUAGGGUUCUAAACACCCAACUCUAAAACGAAUACGAAAGCACGAACCAAGCAUCCAACUUGAAGAUUAUGAAGAGUAGAUGAAGUUUCAUACCUCACUUGAGGGAAAUGGUUGCCUCGAACUGGAAAAAUGACAAAACCGCUGGAAAACCCACAGGAAUUUGCUGCCUCGAACUGGAAAAAUGGAUAAGAAAAUGGAAAAUAUAACAUUACAGAGUUGUAGGGCUCAUCAAGAGCUUUCCAUGGACACCAAGAUCACCCAAAACGGAGAUCGGAU